AGAGUUUGAUCCUGGCUCAGAACAAACGCUGGCGGCGUGCCUAACACAUGCAAGUCGUACGAGAAAGUCCGCUUCGGUGGAUGAGUAAAGUGGCGCACGGGUGAGUAACGCGUGGAUAAUCUACCCUUUAGUCUGGAAUAACUUAUCGAAAGGUGAACUAAUACCGGAUAAUAUCCCGAUUUCUUCGGCGAUCGGGAUCAAAGAAGGCCUCUGCUUGCAAGCUUUCACUGAAGGAUGAGUCCGCGUACCAUUAGCUAGUUGGCAGGGUAAUGGCCUACCAAGGUUAUGAUGGUUAGCUGGUCUGAGAGGAUGAUCAGCCACACUGGAACUGAAACACGGUCCAGACUCCUACGGGAGGCAGCAGUGAGGAAUAUUGCGCAAUGGGGGCAACCCUGACGCAGCAACGCCGCGUGAGUGAGGAAGGUUUUCGGAUUGUAAAGCUCUGUCGAGCGGAAAGAAGUGCAUGGUGGUUAAUAUCCAUCAUGCUUGACGGUACCGCUAAAGGAAGCACCGGCUAACUCCGUGCCAGCAGCCGCGGUAAUACGGGGGGUGCAAGCGUUGUUCGGAAUCAUUGGGCGUAAAGCGCGUGUAGGCGGCUGGACAAGUCAGAUGUGAAAGCCCUGGGCUUAACCCAGGAAGUGCAUUUGAAACUGUUCAGCUAGAGUAAGGGAGAGGAAAGUGGAAUUCCUGGUGUA
Molecule: ribosomal RNA, 695 nt
Filed under: uncultured bacterium
Lineage: Bacteria
Description: bacterial SSU rRNA
Rfam family: Bacterial small subunit ribosomal RNA
Source: RNAcentral